UACGUAGGGGGCAAGCGUUUGUUCGGAAUUACUGGGCGUAAAGCGCACGUAGGCGGCUUUGCAAGUUAGAGGUGAAAGCCCGGGGGCUCAACUCCGGAAUUGCCUUUAAAACUGCAUCGCUAGAGUUGUGGAGAGGUAAGUGGAAUUCCGAGUGUAGAGGUGAAAUUCGUAGAUAUUACGGAAGAACACCAGUGGCGAAGGCGACUUACUGGACACAUACUGACGCUGAGGUGCGAAAGCGUGGGGAGCAAACAGG
Molecule: ribosomal RNA, 256 nt
Filed under: uncultured bacterium
Lineage: Bacteria
Description: partial 16S ribosomal RNA
Rfam family: Bacterial small subunit ribosomal RNA
Source: RNAcentral